CUCAGCUCACUUGGUCAAAUAUUUGGUGGCUACUACUAUAUGUUUUAUAACACUACUAGAAUUAGGAUAAAUCUCUUCAAUUGAAUCAAUUCCUUAUUUUUCAAGAGGAACUAAAAAUAAAGAUACAUAGAAAAAGAGUUUCAUUUUUAAGUCAUUUCUAGCAUGUUCUUGGUAUGCAUCACAUAUUUUUAUACAUCUAUAGGCAUCUUUGAAUAAAAUAGGCUAAUAAUAGCUAAAUUUAAUAAU
RNAcentral lists this long non-coding RNA (246 nucleotides) under Physcomitrium patens. RNAcentral's name for it is "long non-coding RNA (PPAT_LNC007281)". The record is from RNAcentral. Lineage: Eukaryota; Viridiplantae; Streptophyta; Bryopsida; Funariales; Funariaceae.